GACGAACGCUGGCGGCGUGCUUAACACAUGCAAGUCGAACGGAAAGGCCCUGCUUUUGUGGGGUGCUCGAGUGGCGAACGGGUGAGUAACACGUGAGUAACCUGCCCUUGACUUUGGGAUAACUUCAGGAAACUGGGGCUAAUACCGGAUAGGAGCUCCUGCUGCAUGGUGGGGGUUGGAAAGUUUCGGCGGUUGGGGAUGGACUCGCGGCUUAUCAGCUUGUUGGUGGGGUAGUGGCUUACCAAGGCUUUGACGGGUAGCCGGCCUGAGAGGGUGACCGGCAACAUUGGGAAAGAGAGAACGCCGAGACGCCGACGGGAGGCGGCAGUGGGGGAGGGUGAUCACGGGCCGGAGGCCUGAUGCCGCAACGCCGCGUGCGGGAGGGGGGGGGGCGGGUUGGAGACAGGAUGCGCCGGUGACGAACGGGGCGUGAGGGGAAGUGGUAAAGAGACAACGACUAGUUAGAAC
This 468-nucleotide ribosomal RNA is filed under the name uncultured bacterium. RNAcentral describes it as "partial 16S ribosomal RNA". The stretch from base 12 to 374 matches the Rfam family "Bacterial small subunit ribosomal RNA", at positions 39 to 400 of the family's 1533-position model. The record is from RNAcentral.